AUUGAACGCUGGCGGCAGGCCUAACACAUGCAAGUCGAGCGGUAGAGAGGUGCUUGCAUCUCUUGAGAGCGGCGGACGGGUGAGUAAUGCCUAGGAAUCUGCCUAGUGGUGGGGGAUAACGUUCGGAAACGGACGCUAAUACCGCAUACGUCCUACGGGAGAAAGCGGGGGAUCUUCGGACCUCGCGCCAUUAGAUGAGCCUAGGUCGGAUUAGCUAGUUGGUGAGGUAAUGGGCUCACCAAGCCGACGAUCUGUAGCUGGUCUGAGAGGACGACCAGCCACACUGGGACUGAGACCACGGCCCAGACUCCUACGGGAGGCAGCAGU
This 327-nucleotide ribosomal RNA is filed under the name uncultured bacterium. Its description in RNAcentral is "bacterial SSU rRNA". It matches the Rfam family "Bacterial small subunit ribosomal RNA", at positions 30 to 355 of the family's 1533-position model. The record is from RNAcentral.